RNAcentral lists this ribosomal RNA (301 nucleotides) under uncultured bacterium. Its description in RNAcentral is "partial 16S ribosomal RNA". It matches the Rfam family "Bacterial small subunit ribosomal RNA", at positions 510 to 808 of the family's 1533-position model. The record is from RNAcentral.
AGUAGCCGCGGUAAAACGAAGGGUGCAAGCGUUAAUCGGAAUUACUGGGCGUAAAGCGUGCGUAGGCGGUGAGUUAAGUCUGCUGUGAAAUCCCCGGGCUCAACCUGGGAAUGGCAGUGGAUACUGGCUCGCUAGAGUGUGUCAGAGGAUGGUGGAAUUCCCGGUGUAGCGGUGAAAUGCGUAGAGAUCGGGAGGAACAUCAGUGGCGAAGGCGGCCAUCUGGGACAACACUGACGCUGAGGCACGAAAGCGUGGGGAGCAAACAGGAUUAGAUACCCCGGUAGUCCCUGUCUCUUAUACA